GGUUCCGGCUCAUCCUGGGCAAUGAAGCAAUGGCACAAAUAAGUUUGGAGAGCCACAUUCCAGAGUGAGGAUGGAGGAAGCAGAGAAUAAUAUCCCCUCGACUUCACGGCAGUCAGCCCCCUAAGCAGAGCUGCAGGUGUGGGACGGAAGGCGGAUCGAGCAGGGAUGAGAGGCUGAAGACUCGGGUCACCAAGAAAGCUGGAGGGAGCCGGCUGGGGAGAAGGUGCGGGAGACCUUUCCAGUCCGGGGCUGCUUUUCCUGCUGAGCACGGACCAUUCCUGGGUCUCACAGAUGACAGACUGAGGGUACCGAACCCCCUGCAAGCAUGCCGAGCACCGCUGGCCUCUUCUUGAGUGUGCCCACCCGUCCACCCUGUCUACACCCAACUCUCCACACAAUGCCGUAUCUGCUCUCCUUGUCUUUUUCAAAGCCUGCAGAACCAGGGCAUAGCUGUCCCACCAAACCUGGGCUGCUUCCUCAGCCCAGAAACGCCAACCUUCCUAUGAAUGCUAAACUCACCAGCAUGGAGACAGACAGUCUGAACCCCUGGACAUGAAGAAUGUUAGCUUUCCAAGGAUGAGGGAGAGCCCAGUUUGUCCCCGCCCCGCCCCCCACGAUUGGCGACUGAACCUAGGACCUCGCGUAUGCUACGUAAA
Non-coding RNA from Peromyscus maniculatus bairdii (prairie deer mouse), 656 nucleotides. NCBI's taxonomy places the organism in Eukaryota, Metazoa, Chordata, Mammalia, Rodentia, Cricetidae. The record is from RefSeq and is a predicted model, not a curated record.